CUCUGGUCCUUCUGACUCCAGGGCUGGUGCUCUAUCUACUGUGCCACCUAGCUGCCUCUAGGUUUCUUUAUUUCAUCCAAGUUGGAAGGGCAUCUGCCCUCCCAGGCCUAAUCCUACUACUGAUUGGGACAGGACCUGCUCCAUUUCUCACCUGGGACGGCUCCCCCCUUCUUAGGCAGCUUGGUGAACCACCCUAACCGAGGGCUCACCCUAUUGGUGCCAGACUUAGUGUGAAUGCCCAGUUGACAUCCUGAGUUCAAUUACUCCAUCAGUCUCAGCCUUCCUGGUAGCAGGGAUUACACCAGGCUCAUAUAUCCAUUCUCCUGUCCAGAUUUCCCCUCUCCCCUCAGAGAUUGGCACUCCAAAUGGUCAGUCUUUUCAGUACCCACUUGAAAUAGCCUGAUCCAGAAGUGGGAGAAAAAGCUCUGGCUCUUUCAAAUGCUCUUGUGAUGAUGGUUUUGAUGAUAAAGUCAAAGCUUUGAACAUUAAACUGUUUUUCAGGCAUCACCGCCCACUUGCCUUUUCUGUGGCCUUAUUUUCUACCACUGAAGUGUCUGGGAAGUGGAUAUACUUAGGGCAGUCCUCAAGCAGGGAGAAGUAACUGAGGACUCUAGCCUGGAGCCUUGCACCUUGCAGGCACUAAAUAAAUAUUUGUUGACUAAAUGAAUGGUUAUAUGGAUGAACAAAUGAAUGGAUAGGCCAGCUUACUUCAGGGCUAGCCAUUUUCAAGUGCCUGAUUUGGGACCCAAGUUUUGCCUGGGAAAUGUUUAUGGAUGACUCAGUGUUCCCAUGUGGGGGACAAAAAGGUGGCCAGCUGCUCGCAAUCAGGUUGAGAGUCUCUCUAGUGGAACCAGAUGUCUUCUUUGAGGACCGGCACUAGAAUCCUCUUGGAAAUCACUCCUGCCACAGGAGGCAAGGAGGCAUCAUACAGUUGCCCAGCUCUACAAAAUGAUUCAAUGGCACUCUGCCAGGCACAGAGGGGAGGCUGGCUGUGAUGGGGUCCCCAUUAGGGAGCUUAACACACACACACACACACACACACACACACACACAGAGCUGCUGAAAACUCGCCAGCUCCAGAAGCAGCCUCCUGCCAGGGACGCCAGAUCUUCCCCAGAAUGGUCUGGGCAGCAAAGAAAGGAAACCCAAGUUGGCAGGUUCUAUAUUAAGAGCCAAACCCUGUGGAGAAAGGAGUUCAUUAGGGGUGGUAAGCUAAGCCAAGUGAUGGGAGUUCCAGGUAAUAUCUUCAGCUCUACUGCUGAAUGACUAAGUCACUGGUUCAGUCCCUUUCUCUUCGUGAUACCUCAGUUUCCCCAAGUACAGCUAUAUUUGUGAAAAGCUUCUUGAAUAAAUGGAGUGCUAUUUGUACAGUGCUGAAAAUGCUAUUGUCUGAGAUAAAAGAAAAAGGUCCUUACAUUUUAAAGAAGAAAACAUGGUUGAAUGAGAUAAUGUAUAUAAUGUAUUUUUAUAUAUGAGAUAAUCUAUAUAAAACUUUAACACUUGAGAGGAAAAUAUUUAAAUUAAAAUAUAAAAUACAUUAUAAGAUGUUUGUAAUGUGUGUAUAUAUAAGGCAUUUUUAAUGACCCUAACAUGCUAUGUAAGCAUGCAAUUAUUACCCCUACUGUGUUCUCAAAUAGUUCACUAUUAUCUGUGGAAAUUGAAUAAAUGGAUUAUAUAGUGAAGUAGAAAGAAUACUAGAUUUGGAGUCAACCUCAAGGACCUUCGAUCAACUCUCACUACUAUUCCUUACUAGCUGUGUGAUCUUGUAUAAGUCACUUAGUUCUCAAGUCUUUUUUCCCUCCAGGCAGCUGUAUUCCCAGUAUCUCACAGGGCUGUCUGAGCGAGGGUUUGAAGCCAGGUUUCAACUCCAAGCCCAGCACUCUAUCCACUGCACCACCUAAUUGCCUUGCUUGUUCUACUAUUGGAAUAUGAGCUCUUUGAGGGGCCAUCACUGCCACUGAAACCACUGUUGCUGGCCUUGGACACAGUUGCAUGGUUGAAUAAAGAAGCCUGCUGAAGACCCCUCAGUCUUCCAGGAGGUGGUCUCCAUGGGGAGCUGUCCACAGCUACUGCUUCACUUCAGUGACAGCCAGAAGCCAGAAGAAGGAGAAACCAAUAAUGGAUGAACAAAAGGAAGCCAGCGUUUAUCUGGAAGGAGCCCUGCCUGGCUUCCACCGGCAGAGAACGAAAGGAACUAGACCACGUAUGUCUGCAUUCACCAGCAGGAGUUCUCUGGAUAAGGCCCCAUACCUGGUCUAUGCCAAGUCAAACAACCUGGGCAUUUUCAGCAUUGUCUCCUUUUACUGCCUACUUUCCUGAUCUCUGGGAUUACAUUUAUGCAACGGAAAGCUACCUCUCUACACCUGCUGCGGUUAUUGAAGGAGCUCUGAAUUAUGACCCAUCACCAAGAACUAGAAAAAGAAUGGCUAUUUGGUUCCUGUUAUCUCUGGCUGGAGAACAGAGCAGCUUCUGUAUGGAAGAGCAACCUGAAAUAGACGCAGUCCUCCUCCUUCCUCAUCAGCAACCAUCAACUGUGUUUAUGGGGGAUCGCACAUUCCCAUAAAAGGAUUUAUGCAGCUAAUCUCCAUCAACAAGGAAAAAAAGCCCCACCAAACCUGCCAUAAAAAAGAACAGCAAAUUCUAUAAACAAAAAAGCAGUAUGGCCACCAACAACGGGCGGAUCACACAGCUUGAAUCUGCCUCAAGUGGUUUCCCUGUCGCUCUUUAUAGCUUCAAGACUAUCACGGACCUCCUUAGUGUUUCUCCUGUCACAGGGCCCUGAGUCCCUGUGUGGUGCUGCAAAUACCCUGUCAGUAGGUGUCAGGGGAUAUCAGGGGAAAAACAGCAGGCGCCCAUCAUAAGACUUAAAAGAGAUUAAAUACCCCCACUACGUGAUUGCUGCAUUUUAAUUUCUCUCCUCCCUGCUGGUUCCUAUUUGUAUAAUCUCUUACACUGCUCCCCUGGAGUAGCACAGACAUGACCUGGAAUGACCACUCUGUCCUGGGAUGAGAAUUCAAUUUCCAGGCUCAGUGAGUCCUGGGCUGUUCCAACAAAAGGCAUUUCUCUAUCCUCCUUUAGGGUAAAAGGAAAACGAAGCCUCUGUGGUCUUGGAGGCCUGGGCCUACCUCAUCAAUCCAGCCCUGUCUUGCUUUCUUGGGGCGAAAGGAGAGUUUGGAUUCUGUUUUCAGACUUGGCUUUCCCAGUGUGAUUCGUGGCUUCCACAAUGAGUUUCACCUUCCCUGCUGAAGGGACCAUUUCUUCCUUGGCAUAAGAGACAACUAAGCUGGUUUAUUCCUUCUAGACAGUGACUGGAAAGUUGUGUCUUUUGAGGGCUUCAUUCCAGACCCACAAGAUGGUUUCUGGAAUGGGUUACUUGACACUCUCAUUGCUCUUGAGGACAUUAAUGGCAAAAACUUCCUUCCUGGAAAUUCUCUUUCCUCUCUAAUGAGGUUCCCCUAGGCCUCAACGGGACAGAGUCCCUGAAAAUUUCUUAUAUCUUCCUACUUUUCAACAUCCUAAGGUCAUUCCAGCAGACUUUGUAAAUAACAUGAUUCUCCUACAGGAGAAUAAUUGAUCAGUUCUUAAAACAGAAAAUCAAUGACUCAUUGAUAUAUGUACAGGAAAGGCUAAUCAAUCACAGAAUUAUUGGUUUAUGAUUGCUUAUUCCUCUCAUUAGUGGUGGUGUAUCAUAUAUUAUCAUUACGGUUUUUUUUUAAACAGAAUUCUAAUUUAUAAGCAAUGCUGAUUCUGUUAUUCUGGGGUCAGAUUAUUAUUCUGGGUUGGUCAAGAAUUUUCUAACUUUUAAAACCUUGCUUGGUACCAGAGCUAUUUUGAAAAUUUAUUGCCUUCUUAGGAUGUCAAAAAUUAAAUGAAGCCAGGGCUCCAUGAUAAAUACCACCCCCUCUAACUUCUGAGAAAAACAAGGCUGGAAGGCAGAAUGACUCACUACAGGCAAACAGGUGCCAAUUUCCCGGCACAAGUGGUUUUACGUUGAGUGUUUUCAGAGGGAGAGGGGAAAUGGUCAGCUGGGUGGUCAGUAAAUUAGGGGAAGCUAGAACCUAUGAAAGGUUCAGAUCUCUGUAUUCUGCUGUAAACCUCUGGCAGCUCUGGGUUUGCCAGUCAGCCUCACUCCUUGUCUUGGGUUCUUGACAAUAAUUUUCUUCUCUUUCAUUAUUCAGAAUUUUGGUCUAAUAAAUCAUAAUAAAAUGAAUUAUUAACAGUG
This is a long non-coding RNA of Phascolarctos cinereus (koala), 4222 nucleotides long. RefSeq lists it as uncharacterized. The record is from RefSeq and is a predicted model, not a curated record. Lineage: Eukaryota; Metazoa; Chordata; Mammalia; Diprotodontia; Phascolarctidae.